UUUUGGGAAUUGUCACCUAAUUAAAUAACCCGUCUUAUCACCUUAAAUGUGGAUGAAAAGAGUCUCUUCUCAUUCCUAUGGUUAGAAAGUAAAAUUCAAUGCUCUACCUGAAUUUUGUUUAUCUUUAAAUUUUUUUUUUUUUUGGAACGGUCAAAUUCUAUGAUUCAUAGAACAGGGCCAGCAUAUGCUGUAAAAACCCAACAGUACAGUACAAAACAAAUCAACGCAAAACAAAACGAAACUAAAUACAAAACAAAAUACACCCAACUUCUACGCCACUAUUUCACUAUAUAGUAAACUGCAAUUUGGUACCCUGCAAUUUGGUUUGCAGAAUUAUAAAGAGUAAACUGCAAUUUGGUUCCCUGUAGUUUUCCGACUCUUGCACUUUGCCCCCUAUUUUCCGUUUUCUGCACUUUGGCUCCCUGUGCCUGCAUUUCAUUACACUAUGCCUUCCGCCAUUAGUGGACCGUUAGUUGACUGUCUUGUUUAGGGGAAAAACAGUAAUCUUACCACCCAAACCCGCAAACCCUUUUUUUUGUGGCAGUAUACGCCCCAGUGGUUUUCUUAUUACUUCAACUACUCACCACCCACCACCACCGUCAUCAUCCCCAUCACCUCCACCACCAUCACCAUCUUGGCCCCUGCGGAAAUUAUAGAUGUUGGCGAAUCUCUCACAUUGUGUUUGGGAAUUAAACUCACUUCUUGUUGAAAACUACAAAUAUUAAAUGUGUAUUUUGUGUUUAUUAUUAGAAAAGAAAAA
RNAcentral lists this long non-coding RNA (760 nucleotides) under Helianthus annuus (common sunflower). The record is from RNAcentral. Lineage: Eukaryota; Viridiplantae; Streptophyta; Magnoliopsida; Asterales; Asteraceae.